Molecule: transfer RNA, 73 nt
Filed under: Candidatus Peribacteria bacterium
Lineage: Bacteria; Candidatus Peregrinibacteriota; Candidatus Peribacteria
Description: tRNA-Arg
Rfam family: tRNA
About the family: Transfer RNA (tRNA) molecules are approximately 80 nucleotides in length. Their secondary structure includes four short double-helical elements and three loops (D, anti-codon, and T loops).
Source: RNAcentral
AAGAGGGUAGUGUCAGUGGUUAGCACAUCGGUCUCCGAAGCCGAAAGCAGAGGUUCAAAUCCUCUUCCUCUUG